UACGUAGGGGGCUAGCGUUGUCCGGAAUCAUUGGGCGUAAAGCGCGCGUAGGCGGCCAGAUAAGUCCGGUGUGAAAGUCACAGGCUCAACCUGUGAAUGCCGCUGGAAACUGUCUGGCUAGAGUCCGGAAGGGGCGAGUGGAAUUCCUGGUGUAGCGGUGAAAUGCGCAGAUAUCAGGAGGAACACCAAUGGCGAAGGCAGCUCGCUGGAACGGUACUGACACUGAGGAGCGAAAGCGUGGGUAGCAAACAGG
RNAcentral lists this ribosomal RNA (253 nucleotides) under uncultured bacterium. RNAcentral's name for it is "partial 16S ribosomal RNA". It matches the Rfam family "Bacterial small subunit ribosomal RNA", at positions 524 to 776 of the family's 1533-position model. The record is from RNAcentral.